RNAcentral lists this transfer RNA (88 nucleotides) under Caudoviricetes sp. RNAcentral's name for it is "tRNA-Ser". It matches the Rfam family "tRNA". Rfam says of the family: Transfer RNA (tRNA) molecules are approximately 80 nucleotides in length. Their secondary structure includes four short double-helical elements and three loops (D, anti-codon, and T loops). The record is from RNAcentral. Lineage: Duplodnaviria; Heunggongvirae; Uroviricota; Caudoviricetes.
GGAAGGGUGUCCGAGUCCGGUUUAUGGUACCAGUCUUGAAAACUGGCGUGCGCAAGCACCGUGGGUUCAAAUCCCACCCCUUCCGCCA